RNAcentral lists this ribosomal RNA (817 nucleotides) under uncultured organism. RNAcentral describes it as "bacterial SSU rRNA". It matches the Rfam family "Bacterial small subunit ribosomal RNA", at positions 531 to 1338 of the family's 1533-position model. The record is from RNAcentral.
GUGGCGAGCGUUGUUCGGAAUCACUGGGCUUAAAGCGCGCGUAGGCGGAAUGGCAUGUGCUUUGUGAAAUCCCACGGCUUAACCGUGGAAUUGCUUGGCAAACUGCUAUUCUUGAGGCAAGCAGGGGUGUAUGGAACUCUUGGUGGAGCGGUGGAAUGCGUAGAUAUCAAGAGGAACGCCAAUGGCGAAGGCAGUACACUGGGCUUGUCCUGACGCUGAGGUGCGAAAGCGUGGGGAGCGAACGGGAUUAGAUACCCCGGUAGUCCACGCUGUAAACGAUGUCUACUAGGUUGUGGAAGUUCUGACGCUUUCACGGCCGAAGCAAAAGUGUUAAGUAGACCGCCUGGGGAGUACGGUCGCAAGGCUAAAACUCAAAGGGAUUGACGGGGGCUCACACAAGCGGUGGAGCAUGUGGAUUAAUUCGAAGCAACGCGCAGAACCUUACCUGGGUUUGACAUGCUUGGAUGCCUGCCUGGAAACAGGUUAGGUUGCCCUUCGGGGUGAAACUUGCACAGGUGCUGCAUGGCUGUCGUCAGCUCGUGUCGUGAGAUGUCGGGUUAAGUCCUUUAACGAGCGAAACCCUUGCCGUUAGUUGCCAGCGAGUAAUGUCGGGGACUCUAACGGGACUGCCGGUGUUAAACCGGAGGAAGGUGGGGAUGACGUCAAGUCCUCAUGGCCUUUAUGCCCAGGGCUUCACACGUGCUACAAUGGCGUACACAAAGCGAUGCGAUACCGCGAGGUGGAGCAAAUCGCACAAAAGACGCCUCAGUUCGGAUUGCAGGCUGACAACUCGCCUGCAUGAAGUUGGAAUCGCUAG